This 253-nucleotide ribosomal RNA is filed under the name uncultured bacterium. RNAcentral's name for it is "partial 16S ribosomal RNA". It matches the Rfam family "Bacterial small subunit ribosomal RNA", at positions 524 to 776 of the family's 1533-position model. The record is from RNAcentral.
CACGUAGGGCGCAAGCGUUGUCCGGAAUUAUUGGGCGUAAAGCGUUAAAAGGCGGUUUGGAAAGUAUUCGGUCAAAUCUCAUGGCUCAACCGUGAGGCUGCCGAGUAAACUCCCAGACUUGAGGUCGGAAGAGGCGAGUGGAAUUCCUGGUGUAGCGGUGAAAUGCGCAGAUAUCAGGAGGAACACCAAUUGCGAAGGCAGCUCGCUGGGACGUUACUGACGCUGAGACGCGAAAGCGUGGGGAGCAAACAGG